Long non-coding RNA from Pan troglodytes (chimpanzee), 3582 nucleotides. RefSeq lists it as uncharacterized. The record is from RefSeq and is a predicted model, not a curated record. The transcript has 5 exons. Lineage: Eukaryota; Metazoa; Chordata; Mammalia; Primates; Hominidae.
UCAAUCCGAGACUGUUGAGGUGGAGUGCACGCUGGACUGGGCAUUAGAGUGCCUAGAACACUGAAUGAGAGGACACCUUUGUUUUCACUGUGAAUCUGCCACUAACUACCCAUGCCCUUGGGUACAUCACCUCUUUGAGGCUUAGUUUCCUGUCUUAUAAAAUGAGUUUUGCACCAGCAUAAUGCUUGUUUGUAUCCACAUGGCUGUGCUCCUGAGGGCCGUCCUGAACAGUGAGCUGAUGGAUGAGAACACUUUGGGGGUGAGUACAGGCUUCAUCCUGUGCUGGAAUCCCUGCUGGAGAAAAUUCUCUUUUUAUAUGACAUGACGAAUUAAAGGCAUGAUUAACAAUGAGGACGUUUUUAUAGAGUCAUUGUUAAAGUGCACACCAGGCUGUUUUCAUCUGAUGGAACCAGAUCACAAAACUGUUUGGACAUCUGUGAAAAACAAACCCAAUCUGUAUGGUCAAAAGAACAUUGAACAGCCAUUAUUCAUGUGAAGUGUUUGAUAGAAAGGCAUUCUGUGUCUGGUGACUUCCAAACAACGUGUAGUGCCUUUAUCGCCUGAGUAAAUGGGGCUUGCCUUUAACACAUCCUCUUUACUAGUCUCAAAGCACUGAGAUAAUGACUGAAAGCUGUGUUAGAGACCAAGCCAUGCAAGAAAGAAAAUGUGUCAUAUCACAUCAACUUAAAACAACUGCAAACCAUCAACAGUGUUUCCCCAAUCCCUACAUUAAAAUCUACAAUCAAGCAGAUAAUAUGAGCAUGUCAAUUUCUCCUUUGAGUAAUAACUACUAACCUCAUGGAAACCAAGCCUCUUCCUUAGAUGUCUCUGAUGUAGGAGUUUGCAGAAUACCAGCAUCUUGGCACAACUGAGGAGGAAAUAAUCCUCUUUCUGGCAUGCGACACUUUAAGAGGCCUCAGAUGCCCUUGGAUAACUUUCAGAUUUGAGUAUGUCUUUAUCAGCAACAUGAGAACGAACUAAUACAGUAAAUUCGUACCAGUAGUAGAGUGGGGCGUUGCUGAAAAGAUACCCGAAAAUGCGGAAGCGACUCUGGAACUGGGUAACAGGCAGAAGUUGAAACAGUUUGGGAGAGCUCAGAAGAAGACAGAAAAAUGUGAGAAAGUUUGGAACCUCCUAGAGACUUGUUGAAUGGCUUUGACAAAAAUGCUGAGAGUGAUAUGAACAACAAGGUCCAGGCUGAGGGUGGUCUCAGAUGGAGGUGAGGAACUUGUUGGGAACUGGAGUAAAGGUGACUCUUGUUAUGUUUUAGCAAAGAGACCGGCGGCAUUUUGCCCCUGCCCUAGAGAUUUGUGGAACUUUGAACUUGAGAGAGAUGAUUUAGGGUUUCUGGUGGAAGAAAUUUCUCAGCAGCAAAGCAUUCAAGAGGUGACUUGGGUGCUGUUUAGAGCAUUUUGUUUUAAAAGGAAAACAGAGCAUAAAAGCUCAGAAAAUUUGCAGCCUGACAAUGCAGUAGAAAAGAAAUACCCAUUUUUUUUUUUUAGGAGAAAUUCAAGCCAGCUGCAGAAAUUUGCAUAAGUAGCAAAUAGCCUAAUGUUAUUCCCUAAGACCACAGGGAAAAUGUCUCCAGGCCAUGUCAGAGACCUUCAUGGAAGCCUCUCCCAUCACAGGCUUGGAACCCAGGAGGAAAAAGUGGUUUCAUUGGCGGGGCCCAGGGUCCCUGUGCUGUGUGCAGCCUAGGGGCUCGGUGACCUGUGUCCCAGCUGCUGUAGCCUAGGUUGAAAGGGUCCAAGGUACUUCAGAGGGUAGAAGCCCCAAGACUUGAAGCUUCCACAUGAUGUUGAGCCUGUGGGUGCACGGAAGUCAAGAACAGAGGUUUGGGAACCUCCGCCUAGAUUUCAGAUGUAUGGAAAUGCCUGGAUGCCCAGGCAAAAAUUUGCUGCAGGGUUGGGGCCCUCAUGGAGAACCUCUGCUGGGGCAGUGCAGAAGGGCAACAUGGGGUUGGAGCCCUCAUGCAGAGUCUCUACUGGGGCACUGCCUAGUGCAGCUGUGAGAAGAGGGCCACCGUCCUCCAGAACCCAGAGUGGUAGAUCCACUGGCACCUUGCACCUUGCACUUGGAAAAGCCACAGAUACUCAACACUAGCCAGUGAAAGCAGCAAGGAGGGAAGCUGUACCCUGCAAAGCCACAGGGGUGGAGCUGCCCAAGACUAUGGGAACCCACCUUUUGCAUCAGUGUGACUUGGAUGUGAGACCUGGAGUCAAAGGAGAUCAUUUUGGAGCUUUAAAAUUUGACUGCACCACUGGAUUUUGGACUUGCAUGGGUCCUGUAACCCCUUUGCUUUGGCUAAUUUCUCCCAUUCGGAAUGGCUGUAUUUACCCAAUACCUGUAACACCAUUGUAUCUAGGAAGUAAGUAGCUUGCUUUUGAUUUUACAGGCUCAUAGGCAGAAGGGACUUGCCUUGUCUCAGAUGAGACUUUGGACUGUGGACUUUGGGUUAAUGCUGAAAUGAGUUAAGACUGGGGGACUGUUUCGAAGGCAUGAUUGGUUUUGAAAUGUGAGGACGUGAGAUUUGGAGUGGCCGGGGUGAAAUGAUAUGGUUUGGCUGUGUCCCCACCCAAAUUUCAGCUUGAAUUGUAUCUCCCAGAAUUCCCAUGUGUUAUAGGAGGGACCAAAGUGCUCGUAAUUGAAUCAUGGGGGCUGAUCUUGUGAUAGUGAAUAAGUCUCACAAGGUCUGAUGGGUUUAUCAGGGAUUUAUGCUUUUGCUUCUUCCUCAUUUUUUUCUUGCUGCCACCAUGUAAGAAGUGCCUUUCACCUCCCACCAUGAUUCUGAGGCUUCCCCAGCCGUGUGGAACUGUAAAUCCAAUUAAACCUCUUUUUGUUCCCAGUUUCGGAUAUGUCUUUAUCAGCAGCAUGAAAAUGAACUAAUGCAUGCUGUAACAGAGACUGAAGUGAGGUGGGGUUUGAGGAAAACUGAUGCAGUUCGUUUUUCUUUAAUGAGAUUCACUCCAUAUUUGGGUGAGGUGAGACCCAUCCAAGGGUCUCUGAGACUAGAGACUAGAGACUGAUUAAGAUGAUGCAGGGGAGGGAAAACUUUUUGGUGCCCACGGGGAAAGGGAACAGAAGGUUUUUCCUUUUGUUUUUAAUAAUUUCAAUUUUUAUUUUAGAUUCAGGGAUACAGCUGCAGGUUUGUUACCUGGCUGUAUUGUGUGAUGCUGAGGUUUGGGGUGUGAUUGAUCUUUUCACCCAAGUACUGAGCAUAGGACCCAAUAGUUAGUUUUUCAACCCUUGCUCCACUCCCUUCCUCCUCCGUCUGGUAGUCUUCAGUGUCUAUUGUUCCCAUCUUUAUGUCCAUGUGUGUUCAAUGUUUAGCUCCCACUUAUAAGUGAGAAAAUGUAGUAUUUGAUUUUUUAUUCCUGUGUUAAUUCACUUAGGAUGAUGGCCUCCAGCUGCAUCCAUGUUGCUGCAAAUGACAUAAUUUUGUUCUUUUGCAUGGCUGCGUAGUAUUCCAUAGUGUAUAUGUACCACAUUUUCUUUAUCCAAUCCACUGUUGAUGGGCACCUAGGUUGAUUCUAUGUCUUUGCUAUUGUGCAUAGUGCUGCAAUAAACAUAUGAGUACAUGUA